RNAcentral lists this transfer RNA (63 nucleotides) under Myrianida brachycephala. RNAcentral describes it as "tRNA-Ile". The record is from RNAcentral. Lineage: Eukaryota; Metazoa; Annelida; Polychaeta; Phyllodocida; Syllidae.
AAUACAAUGCCGGAAAAACGGAUUACAUUGAUGUUGUAAAUUAUAAGCCACGCUUUUGUAUUU